CAAUGGGCGCAAGCCUGAUGGAGCAACACCGCGUGAGUGAAGAAGGGUUUCGGCUCGUAAAGCUCUGUUGUUGGAGAAGAACGUACCUGAGAGUAACUGUUCAGGUAGUGACGGUAUCCAACCAGAAAGUCACGGCUAACUACGUGCCAGCAGCCGCGGUAAUACGUAGGUGGCAAGCGUUAUCCGGAUUUAUUGGGCGUAAAGCGAGCGCAGGCGGUUGCUUAGGUCUGAUGUGAAAGCCUUCGGCUUAACCGAAGAAGUGCAUCGGAAACCGGGCGACUUGAGUGCAGAAGAGGACAGUGGAACUCCAUGUGUAGCGGUGGAAUGCGUAGAUAUAUGGAAGAACACCAGUGGCGAAGGCGGCUGUCUGGUCUGCAACUGACGCUGAGGCUCGAAAGCAUGGGUAGCGAACAGGAUUAGAUACCCUGGUAGUCCAUGCCGUAAACGAUGAGUGCUAGGUGUUGGAGGGUUUCCGCCCUUCAGUGCCGGAGCUAACGCAUUAAGCACUCCGCCUGGGGAGUACGACCGCAAGGUUGAAACUCAAAGGAAUUGACGGGGGCCCGCACAAGCGGUGGAGCAUGUGGUUUAAUUCGAAGCUACGCGAAGAACCUUACCAGGUCUUGACAUCUUGCGCUAACCUUAGAGAUAAGGCGUUCCCUUCGGGGACGCAAUGACAGGUGGUGCAUGGUCGUCGUCAGCUCGUGUCGUGAGAUGUUGGGUUAAGUCCCGCAACGAGCGCAACCCUUGUUACUAGUUGCCAGCAUUAAGUUGGGCACUCUAGUGAGACUGCCGGUGACAAACCGGAGGAAGGUGGGGACGACGUCAGAUCAUCAUGCCCCUUAUGACCUGGGCUACACACGUGCUACAAUGGACGGUACAACGAGUCGCAAGCUCGCGAGAGUAAGCUAAUCUCUUAAAGCCGUUCUCAGUUCGGACUGUAGGCUGCAACUCGCCUACACGAAGUCGGAAUCGCUAGUAAUCGCGGAUCAGCAUGCCGCGGUGAAUACGUUCCCGGGCCU
This 1019-nucleotide ribosomal RNA is filed under the name uncultured Lactobacillus sp. Its description in RNAcentral is "bacterial SSU rRNA". It matches the Rfam family "Bacterial small subunit ribosomal RNA", at positions 369 to 1381 of the family's 1533-position model. Lineage: Bacteria; Bacillati; Bacillota; Bacilli; Lactobacillales; Lactobacillaceae. The record is from RNAcentral.